UCAUUUUGCUCAAGCUGGCGCUCGCCUUCCUCGUGCCAGACAAGCCGCGUUGGGUGGAGAUUGAGCAGUCCAAGCAGCGGUACCAUGAGAAGCGCGUCCACAA
This 103-nucleotide non-coding RNA is filed under the name Emiliania huxleyi. Lineage: Eukaryota; Haptophyta; Isochrysidales; Noelaerhabdaceae. The record is from RNAcentral.